Small nucleolar RNA from Humulus lupulus (European hop), 107 nucleotides. The record is from RefSeq and is a predicted model, not a curated record. NCBI's taxonomy places the organism in Eukaryota, Viridiplantae, Streptophyta, Magnoliopsida, Rosales, Cannabaceae.
AUGUUGUGAUGAGCACACUUUCUCAACAGUUCUGUAAACCUCUCCCAUGCGUCAUAUAAUGAUUCCCCAUUAUUCUGGAAUAAGUUAUUAAUCUCUCCUCUCAACCU